Molecule: ribosomal RNA, 553 nt
Filed under: uncultured bacterium
Lineage: Bacteria
Description: bacterial SSU rRNA
Rfam family: Bacterial small subunit ribosomal RNA
Source: RNAcentral
GGCGGGCCUAACACAUGCAAGUCGCACGAGAAAGCGGUUUCGGCCGUGAGUAAAGUGGCGGACGGGUGAGUAACACGUGGGUAAUCUGCCUUUCAGUGGGGGAUAACAGUCCGAAAGGAUUGCUAAUACCGCAUACGUCGGCGAGGGCUUUGGCCUUUGUCGGGAAAGCCGGCCACUUCAUGAAAGCUGGCGCUGGAAGAGGAGCCCGCGGCCCAUCAGCUAGUUGGCGAGGUAAAAGCUCACCAAGGCAAAGACGGGUAGCUGGUCUGAGAGGAUGAUCAGCCACACUGGGACUGAGACACGGCCCAGACUCCUACGGGAGGCAGCAGUGGGGAAUAUUGGGCAAUGGGCGCAAGCCUGACCCAGCCACGCCGCGUGAGUGAUGAAGGCCUUCGGGUCGUAAAGCUCUGUGGGGAGGGACGAAAAAACGGUGGCUAAUAUCCACUGGACUGACGGUACCUCCUUAGCAAGCACCGGCUAACUCCGUGCCAGCAGCCGCGGUAAUACGGANGGUGCAAACGUUGCUCGGAAUCAUUGGGCGUAAAGCGUACGU